RNAcentral lists this ribosomal RNA (567 nucleotides) under uncultured Actinomycetes bacterium. Its description in RNAcentral is "bacterial SSU rRNA". It matches the Rfam family "Bacterial small subunit ribosomal RNA", at positions 338 to 916 of the family's 1533-position model. Lineage: Bacteria; Bacillati; Actinomycetota; Actinomycetes. The record is from RNAcentral.
CCUACGGGAGGCAGCAGUAGGGAAUAUUGGGCAAUGGGCGAAAGCCUGACCCAGCGACGCCGCGUGAGGGAUGAAGGCCUUCGGAUUGUAAACCUCUUUCAGUAGGGAAGAAGCGAAAGUGACGGUACCUAAAGAAGAAGCACCGGCUAACUAUGUGCCAGCAGCCGCGGUAAUACAUAGGGUGCAAGCGUUGUCCGGAAUUAUUGGGCGUAAAGAGCUCGUAGGUCGUUUGUCGCGUCGAUUGUGAAAAUCUGAGGCUCAACCUCAGACCUGCAGUCGAUACGGGCAAACUAGAGUGUGGUAGGGGAGACUGGAAUUCCUGGUGUAGCGGUGGAAUGCGCAGAUAUCAGGAGGAACACCAAUGGCGAAGGCAGGUCUCUGGGCCAUAACUGACACUGAGGAGCGAAAGUGCGGGGAGCGAACAGGAUUAGAUACCCUGGUAGUCCGCACCGUAAACGGUGGGCACUAGUUGUGGGAACCUUCCACGGUUUCCGCGACGCAGCAAACGCAUUAAGUGCCCCGCCUGGGGAGUACGAUCGCAAGAUUAAAACUCAAAGGAAUUGACGG